UGGUAGAUGCACCCUGGUUAAGCCUUAGAGGGAUUUCUCUCUAGGGCUUUUUUUG
This 55-nucleotide small RNA is filed under the name [Phormidium ambiguum] IAM M-71. RNAcentral's name for it is "Phormidium ambiguum IAM M-71 Nitrogen stress-induced RNA 1". It matches the Rfam family "Nitrogen stress-induced RNA 1". Lineage: Bacteria; Bacillati; Cyanobacteriota; Cyanophyceae; Aerosakkonematales; Aerosakkonemataceae. The record is from Rfam by way of RNAcentral.